This 778-nucleotide ribosomal RNA is filed under the name Maribacter dokdonensis. RNAcentral's name for it is "bacterial SSU rRNA". It matches the Rfam family "Bacterial small subunit ribosomal RNA", at positions 401 to 1178 of the family's 1533-position model. The record is from RNAcentral. Lineage: Bacteria; Pseudomonadati; Bacteroidota; Flavobacteriia; Flavobacteriales; Flavobacteriaceae.
GUGCAGGAAGAAUGCCCUAUGGGUAGUAAACUGCUUUUAUACGGGAAGAAAAAGAGCUACGUGUAGCUUACUGACGGUACCGUAAGAAUAAGGACCGGCUAACUCCGUGCCAGCAGCCGCGGUAAUACGGAGGGUCCGAGCGUUAUCCGGAAUUAUUGGGUUUAAAGGGUCCGUAGGCGGGCCGAUAAGUCAGGGGUGAAAGUCUGCCGCUCAACGGUAGAACUGCCUUUGAUACUGUCGGUCUUGAGUUAUAGUGAAGUUGCCGGAAUAUGUAGUGUAGCGGUGAAAUGCAUAGAUAUUACAUAGAACACCGAUUGCGAAGGCAGGUGACUAACUAUAUACUGACGCUGAUGGACGAAAGCGUGGGGAGCGAACAGGAUUAGAUACCCUGGUAGUCCACGCCGUAAACGAUGGAUACUAGCUGUCCGGGGCCUUGAGUUCUGGGCGGCCAAGCGAAAGUGAUAAGUAUCCCACCUGGGGAGUACGUUCGCAAGAAUGAAACUCAAAGGAAUUGACGGGGGCCCGCACAAGCGGUGGAGCAUGUGGUUUAAUUCGAUGAUACGCGAGGAACCUUACCAGGGCUUAAAUGCAUAUUGACAGGGUCAGAGAUGACUUUUCCUUCGGGCAAUUUGCAAGGUGCUGCAUGGUUGUCGUCAGCUCGUGCCGUGAGGUGUCAGGUUAAGUCCUAUAACGAGCGCAACCCCUACCGUUAGUUGCCAGCAUGUCAUGAUGGGGGACUCUAACGGGACUGCCGGUGCAAACCGUGAGGAAAGUGGGG